GUGGCAGGCCGCUUUAUCGUUCCCGUCCGUCAUCUGACGGAUUGGGAGAGGAAAGUCCGGGCAACGCAGGGUACCGUGCUUCUUAACGGGAAGAUCUUUGAAAGGGGAUAGCAACGUAACAGAAAAUAACCAUCCCGAACUGACGUGUCGGAUUGGGGAACGGGUGAAAAGGUGCGGUAAAAGCGCACCGGUAGUUGUGGUAACACAGUUAGCCGUACGUCUCACGAGUUGCAAAGCCAAAUAUAUCCUGAUUGUUUGCCGCUGUUGCGGUACAGCAAAGCUGCUCGCUUUGUUUCUUUCUCGCACAAAGUUGUCAGGAGGGGUAGGCUGCAAGGAUCAAAGCAGUAAUGUUUUGACUAGAUAAAUGAUAAAGGUUCUUCGUCUAAUUGAUGGAGAAAACAGAACCCGGCUUACAGGUCUGCCAUUUUU
This 429-nucleotide RNase P RNA is filed under the name Draconibacterium sp. RNAcentral's name for it is "RNase P RNA component class A". It matches the Rfam family "Bacterial RNase P class A". From Rfam's summary of the family: Ribonuclease P (RNase P) is a ubiquitous endoribonuclease, found in archaea, bacteria and eukarya as well as chloroplasts and mitochondria. Its best characterised activity is the generation of mature 5'-ends of tRNAs by cleaving the 5'-leader elements of precursor-tRNAs. The record is from RNAcentral. Lineage: Bacteria; Pseudomonadati; Bacteroidota; Bacteroidia; Marinilabiliales; Prolixibacteraceae.